AAUCGUUCAUCUACGAAUCUACAAAAAUAUGGAGCUAGGCAUGCACUUGGGUGGAUCUAAUACGAUUUCUCCCUAGGAUCUCACGGCCGGCGACAGUUGUGAACGAUUAAAUAUUAUUUACUAGACCUGGAUAUGAACGCAUUAAGGCAAUACACAAUACACAUCCUUGUAAUUAAGGUGACAGGACCCACAACGAUUCCUGGGAAACAACCUGCAAUUGAAAUGAAUUACA
Long non-coding RNA from Anoplophora glabripennis (Asian longhorned beetle), 232 nucleotides. RefSeq lists it as uncharacterized. The transcript has 3 exons. The record is from RefSeq and is a predicted model, not a curated record. Lineage: Eukaryota; Metazoa; Arthropoda; Insecta; Coleoptera; Cerambycidae.